UAGGGAAUCUUCCACAAUGGACGAAAGUCUGAUGGAGCAACGCCGCGUGAGUGAGAAGGGUUUCGGCUCGUAAAACUCUGUUGUUAAAGAAGAACAUAUCUGAGAGUAACUGUUCAGGUAUUGACGGUAUUUAACCAGAAAGCCACGGCUAACUACGUGCCAG
Molecule: ribosomal RNA, 163 nt
Filed under: uncultured bacterium
Lineage: Bacteria
Description: partial 16S rRNA
Rfam family: Bacterial small subunit ribosomal RNA
Source: RNAcentral